AAGACUUGCGUCUUCAAGGCUUGGAUGUGAGGGCUUGCUGGCUUCCUUCAGUGGACGGUCUGCUCCCUUUAAAUACAUUAGUGGGAUCUCUUGUGGACCGUCACUUGGUGUGAUAAUUAUCUAUGCCACUUGACUUUGAAGCAAACUAAUGGGAACCUGCUUAUAACCGUCCCUUCGGGACAACUUAUUGACAAUUUGACCUCAAAUCAGGUAGGACUACCCGCUGAACUUAAGCAUAUCAAUAAGCGGAGGAAAAGAAACUAACAAGGAUUCCCCUAGUAACUGCGAGUGAAGCGGGAAAAGCUCAAAUUUAAAAUCUGGCGGUUCUUGUAGCCGUCCGAGUUGUAAUU
The sequence is a ribosomal RNA, 350 nucleotides long. The stretch from base 197 to 350 matches the Rfam family "Eukaryotic large subunit ribosomal RNA", at positions 1 to 150 of the family's 3401-position model.